CUACGUGCCAGCAGCCGCGGUAAUACGUAGGGGGCAAGCGUUAUCCGGAAUAACUGGGCGUAAAGGGUGCGCAGGUGGUUUAACAAGUUAGUGGUGAAAGGCAUAGGCUCAACCAAUGUAAGCCAUUAAAACUGUUUAACUUGAGUGCAGGAGAGGAAAGUGGGAUUCCUAGUGUAGCGGUGAAAUGCGUAGAUAUUAGGAGGAAUACCAGUGGCGAAGGSGACUUUCUGGACUGCAACUGACACUGAGGCACGAAAGCGUGGGGAGCAAACAGGAUUAGAUACCCUGGUAGUCCACGCCGUAAACGAUGAGUACUAGGUGUCGGGUGAAGAACUCGGUGCCGAAGUUAACACAUUAAGUACUCCGCCUGGGGAGUACGCUCGCAAGAGUAAAACUCAAAGGAAUUGACGGGGACCCGCACAAGCAGCGGAGCAUGUGGUUUAAUUCGAAGCAACGCGAAGAACCUUACCUAAACUUGACAUACCAAUGACAGCCUU
RNAcentral lists this ribosomal RNA (497 nucleotides) under uncultured bacterium. RNAcentral's name for it is "bacterial SSU rRNA". It matches the Rfam family "Bacterial small subunit ribosomal RNA", at positions 501 to 1002 of the family's 1533-position model. The record is from RNAcentral.